UACGGAGGGUGCAAACGUUGCUCGGAAUCAUUGGGCGUAAAGCGCGUGUAGGCGGCUUUGCAAGUCGGGUGUGAAAGCCCUCAGCUUAACUGAGGAAGUGCGCCCGAAACUGCAGAGCUUGAGUACCGGAGAGGAUGGCGGAAUUCCCCAAGUAGAGGUGAAAUUCGUAGAUAUGGGGAGGAACACCGGUGGCGAAGGCGGCCAUCUGGACGGAUACUGACGCUGAGGCGCGAAAGCGUGGGGAGCGAUCCGG
Molecule: ribosomal RNA, 253 nt
Filed under: uncultured bacterium
Lineage: Bacteria
Description: partial 16S ribosomal RNA
Rfam family: Bacterial small subunit ribosomal RNA
Source: RNAcentral